This 87-nucleotide transfer RNA is filed under the name Jaapia argillacea MUCL 33604. RNAcentral describes it as "tRNA-Val". Lineage: Eukaryota; Fungi; Basidiomycota; Agaricomycetes; Jaapiales; Jaapiaceae. The record is from RNAcentral.
GGGCCGGUGGUGUAGUUGGUUAUCACGUCUGUCUAACACAUCUCAUGGGCACACAGACGGUCCUCAGUUCAAGUCUGGGCCGGCUCA